AUAAGUGUGCUUCCCAUCCUAAACUUGCAAUUUAUAUAUUAAAAGAAAUAUGGAACCUUCUUACAGAUUGAAGUCAUUUGUUGCUCUUUUAGCAAUACUUUUAAUACUAAUGUCAUCUAUGAUGGUUACUGAUGCCCAAUCCAAUUUCAAACAUGGGCGAAAACUGUUUCAAAAUGAUUAUUAUGGGAUUGGUUACCCAACUGGACCGAGUGGAUAUGGAGCAUAUAGCCCUCCUACGUAACUCUUCUCAUAUUCUUUUUCUCUUAACUUUUUAUCUCUAUUUCAAUUUUAAUAUUUUCAUUUAUUAUAAAAUUAAUUUAUAAUAAAGGAAUAAUGAAAUUAAGAGAGAAAUAAAGAGCUUAAAAAAAAUAAGAAAGAAAGACAAGAUCCAGAUCAGUUAAAUAGUACUUAUCUAUAUAGCUUUUUGGAUAUAUUUACUAAAUAAGGAGUUAUACAUUAUUUGUAUUUUAUUUGGUAGUACAAUUAUAAUAAUUUGGCAUGUCCAAUUUCAUUUCAUAUGUAAUAUCAUUCAUUCUUGUAAGAUGACGCUGGUGACUACUUUGUUUAUCGUUUUUUUGUGUUUUGUCUAGUAUUUGAUGUCGUUCUGAUAGUGUAUGGUGUAUAUUGCAAGCUAGAAUACAAAUACAUACAUAUUCUACAAAAAAAAAUUGCAUCACAACAUCUCAUAACUUAUUGUCACCCACAUCUCGAUAAUCACAUUCAAAUCAAUAUCAUGCAUACAACUCAUUUAGGUAAUGCAAUUCGAAUGUGCAACUCGAUACAUAUACAUGUGGUACCAACUUAAUAUUUGGUUCUCUCAGGAACUAGGUCCCCUCUAUAAACCCACAAGCCCCUUAUCAGAGCUCUAAGCCCCCUCUCGGAGCUUGGGACAAGUCACUAGUCCCCUCUCUGAAAUAGUGAACAUGCCUCUUGAUAACUCAAUAUGAUGCAUGCUCAUAUACCUCAAUGCAUAAAUAAAUCAAUGCUUUAAUACCCCUCUGUGAUCUUAACAAUUUGCACUGACAACUCACGUAACCCCUUCUCUAGAUUACCACACAACAACAAUUCACAUAUGUACAACGCAACAUAAACACAAUGCAACUCAAGCAUAUAAUAACUCUUUUCCAUCAAAUUAUUAUCUCAUACAUGCGGCAACACAACAAUCAUAAUUAACAUCUCAAACAUCCUAACAUUCAUUACAAUUCGCAAAUCAUACUCGACACAACGUCAAAGCUCUCAUCAUUCACCAAUCACUCAAUUAAAAUGUUUUUAGUUACUAAUUCAUCAUAUUAACUCAGCACCAACACAACCCUAACAAUGUAGAAAGAGUCUACUAAAGUCAAAAAAUCAGAAUCUACAACUCAAAACACACAGACAGACCAAUUACGCGAGUUCAGGUUCAUGGCAGGUUACCUGUCAUGGUAAUGGCACACGCCAUGGACCUUAUCACACUAAAAUGUCACAUGUGUGAAGAGCAGCUCCAAAACUUAAGCCUGGGCUUCAUGACGAGUUACGGAUCAUGAGCAUGGCGCCCGCCACAUCCAUGGCGCUCGCUAUGGAGCUACAGAAAGCAGACUUCGUCUCUUUCAAUGGAGUUCAAAUCAGAACUCUAAUUUUUUAUUCCAGGCAUUUACAACUCAUUUACAACUUCCACUAUUCUCUCUUUUCUUCUUUUAUUGAAUAAAUUAAAAUAGAAUAUCAUUAUUUAAAUUAUUAAAUAAUUCUAAUUAAAAUAUACUAGCUUGUUAAUACUUCCUACGCCCUCAACUCAAGUUCACACACCUCUACCAUCCAAAAUAAUUCAAUUAAAAUGCAUCAAAAUUAAAAUAAAUCAAAAUAAAUUAGAUAAAAUAAUUUACUAAAACUCGGGUGUUAUAAAAGGCUAUGGACAAAGUGGAGUUCUUCUCAAAUCUUCAAACACUUCAUCGUUCAAUGAAUCAGUAGGAUCAAGGGUUGAUUGUUACACAUGAAGGCUUGGAACCAAUUGGUGAUACUAGAAGAUUCAAGAAGCAUGAAUCGAGUAAAGAUUACUCAUAAGAGUAUGACAUUACACUAUAUACCAGUUAAGAUCCAGAUAAAAGAUUUAUUUUUCUCAACAUUAUUGUGGAUUAGUGAUUGUAUGAACUCUUGCAACAUUUGUCAAAAUAAAAAGGAACAAAGCAGUUUCCGAUGGAAAACCAUUGAAGAGUGUAGUAAGCAAAGUGAGGACGAACACUCACUACUAGAAAUUUGGCCUACGGCCACGCUAAAAUUUUCCACAGCUCAGAAACUGUGGCCACAUAUAUGAUUUGGCCAUGGUUAUCAAAGCGUAGACGUAUGUUAUAGAAUAUUGAAUCCAAAGUGUAAAACUGUGGCCUGUACUUCAAUUGCCACGGUUAUAUAACGGUAGAUAUUUUAAGCCGCAACUAAGAAACCGAGGCCUAUAAUUUUCAGUUCAAACUGUGGCCAAAACCUAAAAAAAUAUAUCCCUCCAAAAUUUCCCCCCUUUUUUUUUAAUUUCCCUCUCAUAAUUAUUUUCUUUUUAAUUUUUUUAUAUUAAAAACAUGUAAACGUUUUAUGGUAAAAUCCAAAAUCCCUCUUCUUAAUUUUUUAGGGUUCCUGAGCACCCCUCUCAAUUUCACAAACCCAAACCCAAACCUUAGCAGCUUCACAUUUCUUCACAUUUCCUGACCACUUUCAACCCUCACAAUAUUGAAAAUGAAAAAUAAGAGGGAUUUAGGGUAAGAGUACCUGUGACUAUCGGGCUUCACGUUCCCUCUUCUUCUUCUUCAACAUGAACAGCGGCCACCUACCACUCCGAUCAAAUCUCGCCGUUGUGAUUCGUUCGCAUAUCGAUUCCUCCGUCUCAAUCGAUCCCUCUCUGUUCUCUCAAUCUCGAAGCCUCUGAUCUCAUCCCCGAUUCUAUUCUCGACAUCACUCGCUCCUCAUCUCCGCUUGCUCUCUCAUCGUGAACGGCUCGCGACGGAGAAAUCGUUGGUGAGUUAGUUAGAUGGAGGUUUGAAAUCGUUGAAAUCGUUGAACCUAAAUCCUCUUUUUCAAUCAUUCAGUUCUAGCGAGUAGGUUUCUUUCCGAAUUCGCAGAUGCUAAUGGCGAAGCCAAGUACCUCAACAUCCUGCAAGAUGUUGCGAACCACAAAGCUCGAUCUGUUGAAAUUGAUCUCGAUGACUUAAUGAACGUUAGUUUUAUUGACAUUUUCACUGUAUUGUAAUUGUUAGUUUCUAAGGUUUAGUUAUAGUUGGUGAUUUUAAGUGAUGUGUUUGUUGUUUUCAGUAUAAGGAUCUAGAUGAGGAUUUUUUUACGCGAGUUACUGAGAAUACGAGAAGAUAUAUAGGGAUUUUUGCUGAUGCGAUCGACGAGCUCAUGCCGGAGCCUACUGAGACGUUU
Molecule: long non-coding RNA, 3384 nt
Organism: Vicia villosa (hairy vetch)
Lineage: Eukaryota; Viridiplantae; Streptophyta; Magnoliopsida; Fabales; Fabaceae
Exons: 3
Source: RefSeq, a predicted model, not a curated record